AAGACUGACAGUGAAAUUCCAUGCAAUACCAACAAAGAUGCUGCCCACUUUCCCGAAGUUGAGGCAAACCCUGAAGAACCAGCAGUUGAAGGAAAACCUAAAGAACCCGUUGAUGAAGAGAAACCAGAUGUACCAGUGGUUGAGAAACCUGAAAAACAAAUGGUUGAGGAGAAACUUGAAGAACCAAUGAUUGAGGAGAAAUCUGACGAACUAGUCGAGGAGAAAUCUCAACAACCAGCGGCUGAAAAGAAACCUGAAGAACCAGCAGCUAAAGAAUCACUUAAAGAGCUAGCAGGGGAGGAAACAACUGAAGAACUAGCACUUGAAGAGAAACUUAGAGAACCAACAGUUGAAGAACUAGUUCUUGAAGAUAAACCUGAAAACCCAGAAAAUGAAGAGGAU
Molecule: long non-coding RNA, 402 nt
Filed under: Nicotiana tabacum (common tobacco)
Lineage: Eukaryota; Viridiplantae; Streptophyta; Magnoliopsida; Solanales; Solanaceae
Description: long non-coding RNA (NTAB_LNC000707)
Source: RNAcentral